UCUGUCUCGCGUUGUAUCGUUUUGCCUGACCUGCUCGUCAUGUCACCCUGUUUCUGUGGAUUUGGAUUUCUGUUUGGAUUACCUUGGUUUUUGGACCCUGUUUAUCAGCCACUCUGCCAGUGUCUCCAGGAUGAUUACUGUGUGAGUGAUUUCUACACUCGUUACCAUCUGGGUAGGAGGACUGGCGUACGCAGCCUUCUCACCGCCAGACCAUCUGCAGCCCACAGAAUCACGCAGCAACCCAUGCAUGAGCCACUGUAACAUAGAUGGAGCAGCUGAGAACCACGAACUGUAAAUAAAUACAACCAUGUUAAAUACA
Molecule: long non-coding RNA, 319 nt
Organism: Micropterus salmoides (largemouth bass)
Lineage: Eukaryota; Metazoa; Chordata; Actinopteri; Centrarchiformes; Centrarchidae
Exons: 2
Source: RefSeq, a predicted model, not a curated record